Molecule: long non-coding RNA, 957 nt
Organism: Thalassophryne amazonica
Lineage: Eukaryota; Metazoa; Chordata; Actinopteri; Batrachoidiformes; Batrachoididae
Exons: 2
Source: RefSeq, a predicted model, not a curated record
GUGAAUGUGUUUGUCUAUAUGUGACCCUGCGACAGACUGGUGUCCUAUCCAGGGUGUAUCCCUAUGACUGCUGAGGUAGGCUCCAACCCCCGUGAGUCGUGACCCUCACUUGGAGUAAGCAGUUGAAAAUGAGUGAGUGAGAUACUCUAUUGUAAUUGCAAUUUUUGUAAAUGGGAUUUUGCCUCAUAUGAUGCAACUGUCAAAGGUGAGGAGAACAUUUGGAGGUUUGGUUGCUAACAAUAUUUAAAUGAGACUAAAGUUGUACAAAUGUGACCUUGUCCAUUAAUGCUUCCUGUUGACUAAACUUUACUGAGAAAAAUUCCAUUGUACCUUCCAUUUGAGAUUGUACUAAUGCAGUUUUUUCUUUUUUUAGUUGUGUCAAAGUAAAGCCUGUCUAGUUGUGUCGUGAUAUUAAAAUUUCUGGUACAUCUGUCAAACUAAAAGUAUUUAACUUCACAAGAUAGAAACUGUACCUAUUUUCAAUCAUCAAUGAAUGGUCAUUUAAGGAAGUUUCCAAUUUGUCAUUUUUACUACAAAAUCAGCAUCAAUGAAUUUUCUCAAAGCCUGAUGGCAAAUCUUCAGAUUACAUCUGCCUGUGUCAUCACUUUCUGAAAGUAUUCCAUUUACAUUAAAUAAGGCUGAAUAUUUGAACAAAAUUUCCCUAGUCCCUUGCUACAAGACAUACAAAAAGUUAGGUUUCUCAUCAAGCUGUAAAUGAUUAGUUAUAUUUACUACAUUACUACUAGACGUCACAAUUUUCAAAGCAUUAGACUGAAAAUAACUUUCAAAAAGUUUUGGCAUGGUCACCGUUUUUGAGAACUCUCAGCAAUUCAUGUAGACAAAGUCUAAAACAUACUGUGCUGUUUAGUUUGUCAAAUUGCUUAUGGAUGCUCAAAACAGACAUACUACAUAUAGAAAUGGUCGUAAUUCCUAAAUGGUGGUGAUAGUUUUGUUAAA